UGACACUGCUAAAAUGAAGCCUUAAAUGUGU
RNAcentral lists this non-coding RNA (31 nucleotides) under Mus musculus (house mouse). The record is from RNAcentral. Lineage: Eukaryota; Metazoa; Chordata; Mammalia; Rodentia; Muridae.